RNAcentral lists this ribosomal RNA (1632 nucleotides) under Triticum aestivum (bread wheat). Its description in RNAcentral is "partial small subunit ribosomal RNA". The record is from RNAcentral. Lineage: Eukaryota; Viridiplantae; Streptophyta; Magnoliopsida; Poales; Poaceae.
AUGCAUGAUGGACUGUAUUAUCUGGAUAAUAAUAUGCCACCUGUGGUUGCAGCUGUUGCGUCCCUUUCACCACUUGACGAAUUCCUUCUUCACCACCGCAGGCUAGGACAUAUGUCUUUUGUCACCCUUGGUAGGCUUUAUCCUGCUCUUUAUAGUAAAGUUAACCAGGGGAGUCUAGUAUGUGACGCUUGUCAAUAUGGUAAACAAACACGUAGCUCCUAUACAUCGUCUGAUAAUAGAAGUGACACGCCACUUCAAGUUAUACAUUCUGAUGUGUGGGGUCCUAGUGGAGUUUCAUCUUUAAAUGGAUAUCGCUCGUUUGUUACCUUUAUUGACUGUUGUACUAGAGUGACUUGGGUUUAUGUGUUGAAGAACAAGAACGAUGUGUUUGAAUGCUUUGUUGAUUUUCAUAAUAUGAUCAGAACGCAAUAUAAUGCUUGUGUGAAAACAUUUCGCACUAAUAAUGGCACAGAGUAUGUGAACAAGGAAUUUAAUGAGUACUUAUCCAGUUUUGGGAUUAUUCAUCACACAACUUGUCCAGGUACUUCAGAGCAGAAUGGUUUGGCAGAAAGGAAGAAUAGACAUCUUCUGGAAAUCACUCGUUGCAUAAUGAUAUCUAUGAAUGUUCCUAAGUUUUUGUGGGGUGAAGCUGUAAUGACAGCUGCUUACUUGAUGAAUAGAAUGCCAUCCAGGGUACUUGGUUAUAAAACACCGUUAGAGUGUCUAACGGGUGAAACAAAAUAUGUGGUUCCACCUAAGGUCUUUGGGUGUGUUUGUUUUGUGAAGGAUUACAGACCAUCUGUUGGCAAGCUAGAUCCAAAGGCGUUAAAGUGUGUAUUCGUGGGGUACUCUGGUAAGCAGAAGGGAUAUAAAUGUUGGUGUCCAUCUGAAAGGAGAAUGUUUGUGAGUAUGGAUGUGGUAUUUAGGGAGCAGGAACCAUUCUAUGGUGAACCGACGGAUUUAACUGAUGUCUUCCCUGAUUUGUUUGCUAAUGAAAAUUUAGAUGCAGAUUGUGAGACAGGGGGAGAUAAGGAAGAGGAAGAUGAUGCAACAUCAAGAAAGAUGAUAGUUGGGGUAAUUCCAGUGGAAACAGAGCAAGAACGAAGACAUGAGCAGCAGUAUGAUACAUCAAGUGAAGCAUUCCGGUGGCCAAAACCAAAUGAGGAAAGGGGGAUUCAGGUGUAUACACGAAGACGUCGUAUUGAGGAGGAAAGGACGCAAGUGUUGGAACCUGAGCCCGAGGCUUAUGGGCAACAUGGUGAGCAAGAGAAGGAGGCUGACCAACAAGAUAAUACUCAAGUUCAAACUAGUGAUACUGGACCUUCCUUGGACAGUGCUAACAUCUCUUCUCAAUAUGAUGACCUUGAUGUCCCAAUAGCUUAUAGAAAGCAACCACGAGCUAGUGCCAGAAAAUUGCCCUCUAAAUUGGAUCCUUAUAAUGUCUCCAACUAUGUCUCUUAUGACAUUGUUGGUCCUUCUUACAAGUCCUUUAUUGCAGCGCUGGAUUCUGCAGAACCCUUACCACGGGACUGGCAGGAGGCAAAAUUAAACCCAAAGUGGAGGGCAGCAAUGCUUGAGGAGAUGUCUGCUCUCGACAAGAAUAAUACAUGGGGAAUGAUGAUGUGGAGAUAA